This is an RNA transcript of Abrus precatorius (Indian licorice), 3593 nucleotides long. It is a transcript of the gene named protein WVD2-like 7, with no coding region annotated. Lineage: Eukaryota; Viridiplantae; Streptophyta; Magnoliopsida; Fabales; Fabaceae. The record is from RefSeq and is a predicted model, not a curated record. The transcript has 7 exons.
CUUCACACACUCCCUCUCACAAGUGCAGCUUUGUUCACGUGGGCCUUUCUUCGUUGCCUUCAAUUUCAUGCUAUGGUUGAUGGUUGAUUUAUUCUCAUCAUCGUCACCGCUGUAUUGGCUCUCUCUCCUCGAACCCUUCAGUGAGACGUGUGUUGUAGCCCAUUGGCUUUGUCUUUGAUGAUUGGGGUUAUCAUUUACGGAGUUUUCACAAGUACAUAAAGCAGAUAAAUGAUGCAGUUACAGUCGAAAGGCCAUGCUUGUGUCUUUGGGGGUUAUAUAGGGUUCUAGCUGAGUGAUAACUUCUAGUAGUUGCACCAAUUUUUCAAGACAAGGUAAACCCAUUUGUCCUUAAGGUUGUUUAAGAUUAAAGAUGGAUUCUUUUUCUUCUUUCAUUUCUAUCUGAUUUGUUGAUUCCCUAAUUUAUUUUUUGUUAAAGUUUUGUUCUUUUGGUGUAAUAGUGAGUUGUCUUUAUGUUGGCUCCUUGUAAUUAUGCACACAAUUUUUGUUUUUGUUUUUUGUUUUUUUGUUUUGCUUUAUCUGUCUGCUGUGUAAGCAGAUGGGAGAGACAGUGGCUUCCAAUCCUGCUUUGCAAGUUUCUGUUUCGUUUGGUAGAUUUGAGAAUGAUUCCUUGUCUUGGGAGAAAUGGUCUGCAUUCUCACCAAACAAGUACUUGGAAGAAGUUGAGAAGUGUGCAACACCUGGAUCAGUUGCUCAGAAAAAAGCGUACUUUGAAGCUCAUUACAAGAAUGUAGCAGCCCGAAAAGCUGAAUUGUUGGCUCAAGAGAAGCAAAUGGAGAAAGAUCCUCUCAGAUCACAGUAUCAAACUGGUGAAGAGCUGAGUCGUAACACUUGUGGGACUGAUGAAGAAUUUGAUGUGCACAAUACUCAAGGUUCCAGUGAAGGGGCUAAGCAAGAAACCAAUUCAACUCGUGAGACCAUAGCUACCCAUGUGGGUAAUUCGGAGGAGGAUGUUGCAGUUUCAAGAGAUUAUCAAAGUUCAUCAGUUGAGGGAGAGAAUGAAGAACUGGAAAGUAGAUCACGUGGUUUCCAGAUGGAUAAACAUGAAGAAGUUGUGUGCAUUGAACAAGAAGGUAAAGAAAGUGCUACCCUUGAAGCUGAAAGUGUGAAGGAAAUUUCACACCAUGUGGACAAUGAGACUGCAAAGGCUUUAGAAAUUGAAGCAAAACAUGUGACAUUGGAUCAUCCAAAGAUAUCUAAAAAGUUUGAACAGGUUACCCCUCUUAAUAGAGAAGGCAAUGUUGCAAAGAUGAAGAAGAAAUCGAAGCUACCUUCAUCAAAGGCAUCCGAAAUUUCUACUCCUAAAAGUUCGAAGCCUGCAUCAUCUCCCACCAAAACAUUGUCAUCUGCAUCUACAAAAAGGGGAAACUCUUCAUCCAUAUCUGGAAGGAAAAUUACUUCUACUGGAGAGAACAGAAAUGUUCCAAAUAAAUCUUUGCACAUGUCGCUUAGCUUGGCUCCAAGCAAACAUGACCCUGCUCCGCUUACAACAUUGAGGAAAUCUUUGAUUAUGGAAAAAAUGGGGGAUAAGGACAUAGUCAAACGAGCAUUCAAGACAUUCCAGAACAAUUUCAAUCAGCCAAAAAUUUCUGAUGAAGACAAAUCUUUGGUGAAAGAAAAGGUGUUUAGAAAUACGGAUAACUGUUUUAUAGUUGAUAAAAGGUUGUGUACCAGUAGAAAUUAGAAAAUCACUUUCGUUUGAGAAUAUUUUCCUACAUUUCUCUUGAGCAGGUUCCUUCAAGGGGGACAGAGCCAAGGCUUCCAACAUCUAUAGCAUUGCGAAAGGAAAAUGGACAGUCACCGAAGGUUGACAGCGCAGAUAAAAGAGGUGGGAAUGUUUUGCGAACUACUUUGGGCAUAAAAAGUGACAUAAGAGCAGAGAAAGGAAAAGAGUCUCCAAGAAAAAUAGAGGAAAAAAUUAAUGCAAAAGAGGUAGAAAGAACGCAUGUUCAAUUGAAAUCAAAGGAGGAAAAGCUAAAACAUAAUUUCAAAGCCACACCCGUGCCAACUUUUCAACGGGGUCAAAAAGUAUCCAAAAGCCACCCAGAAAAGGUAUACAUUAUAAAUUUUAUCAAAGGCACGUCAACAAGUAGGGUGAAGACUAACUAUGGCAUAUCUUUUCCUAUAUGAAUGGUACUUUGUUAACCUUUGUCUGGCAAUUUUUGUAAUUAAUGACUUAGCUUUUAAUUGAAGUCAGUCAAAACUUGUGUUGCUAAACUUAAUAAUCAGGUGAUUGUUGGCAAGUAAGGGAGCAUCAGUCUGACUUAUUUUGCUGUAAAAGGCGAACCUAUUUUCUGCCGAUGAACGUAGUGCUGCUUUAGUUGGUGGGUCACACAUGAGAUAAUGAUGAAAGUUCAUAUGGUCCACAAUCUAACAUCAUUUCAUGGAAUACACACUACUUGUAGGAUAAUAAUGUCUGGUUUGCUGAUAUAUUUUGUCAUUCCAUCAAGUCACCUAAUAAUGCCUUUGUUUCUUAAAUUCAGUAAAACAAAAAUUAUCUUUUUCCAUUAGGUGAGGUCCGCUAUGUAAAUUAAAUCACACCAUUGUGUUAAGAAUGGAAAAUCUAGAUCACAAUGAAAAUCCAAAAGGAUUGAAGUUAUUUUCCAUUCAAAUUUAAUUUCCAUCCAGAUAAAUCAUUUAUGUUAUAGAUUAUUUUUAACGUGCGUCCAAGGGCACACAAUAAAAAUCUAUAUUUAGUAAUUGUUUAUUGAAAAUUACAAUAUAUUACAUGAUUAAUGCAUUUUUAACAUUUAAGUGAUAUAAUUUUCUAAUUUCAAUAAAAAUUUACUUUUUUUUUAUUAAUUUCUUAAAACACACGCACUAGAAAAAUCAUAGUUUAUUUUCAACUCUAAAACUAAAACCGAAUCUAUUACGUUCCAUUACAUGAGCUGUGAACUUAAACAUAUCUAUAUCAAUAGUUACAGUGCAAUAUCAAUAAUUAUAUACAACUAUAUCUAUCUGCAAAAAUGAGGGAUUAAAACCACACAAGAAAGGAAAGGAGGCCUUUUUAAGUAGUAUUUUCUCAAUAAUUCAAAUUGUAGCUGACAAUGUCCUGUUAAAUUUAUUCAUCCUCUAUGGAGAAAAGUCUCUUCUAUAAUCUACAUUAACAGCUAUUUUGUCUUGUCUACUUAUGCAGGGGAAUGCUAAGAUUGAGAAAUGGCGGUAACCCCUUAAAGGGUAAAAGAGUCGAGAAAGAAGAGGUUAAAUACAUCAGUGGGCGUGUAAGAUCUGUAUUCCAAGGUGUAACGCUAUUUUAGUUUAGUCUACGACAAUUAUCUAGUUAUAUAGGACAAUGUGAGUAGGAAGGAGGAGUAAAGCAUAAGUUAUUGAUGAUAAAUUUCAUGGAAGAAAUAAUAUUGUAAAACUAUUAUGUCUAUAAUGUGAGAAAUGCAUGCAUUUCGUAUAUUGGGUUGCAUCAUGUCCAUUCUGUGGUAUCUUGUAUUUAUUUUUGUGUGGGAUCAAUGAAGGGAAGGGAAUGGAAAGUGGGGAUAUGGAGGGAUGGAACCUCUAUCGCAUAAAUGCAGGUCUCUGCCAAGUUUUAAACCCAAUAAUAUCCACACAAACAACUCCUCUUG